RNAcentral lists this transfer RNA (70 nucleotides) under Cyrtophora moluccensis. Its description in RNAcentral is "tRNA-Asn". The record is from RNAcentral. Lineage: Eukaryota; Metazoa; Arthropoda; Arachnida; Araneae; Araneidae.
AGAUUAUAAGCAUUGCAAUUCAUUGUUACUGAAGAGAAGAUUUUUUUUUUUUUUUUUUUCUAAAAAUUAG